ACGAACGCUGGCGGCGUGCUUAACACGUGCAAGUCGAACGGAAAGGCCCUGCUUUUGUGGGGUGCUCGAGUGGCGAACGGGUGAGUAACACGUGAGUAACCUGCCCUUGACUUUGGGAUAACUUCAGGAAACUGGGGCUAAUACCGGAUAGGAGCUCCUGCUGCAUGGUGGGGGUUGGAAAGUUUCGGCGGUUGGGGAUGGACUCGCGGCUUAUCAGCUUGUUGGUGGGGUAGUGGCUUACCAAGGCUUUGACGGGUAGCCGGCCUGAGAGGGUGACCGGCCACAUUGGGACUGAGAUACGGCCCAGACUCCUACGGGAGGCAGCAGUGGGGAAUAUUGCACAAUGGGCGGAAGCCUGAUGCAGCAACGCCGCGUGCGGGAUGACGGCCUUCGGGUUGUAAACCGCUUUCGCCUGUGACGAAGCGUGAGUGACGGUAAUGGGUAAAGAAGCACCGGCUAACUACGUG
This 467-nucleotide ribosomal RNA is filed under the name uncultured bacterium. RNAcentral describes it as "partial 16S ribosomal RNA". It matches the Rfam family "Bacterial small subunit ribosomal RNA", at positions 29 to 507 of the family's 1533-position model. The record is from RNAcentral.